AAAGCACUGUGGAGGGGAGAAAAAACCGGAGUGUAUCCGGUCUUGACGGUACCCUGUUAGAAAAGCACCGGCUAACUCCGUGCCAGCAGCCGCGGUAAUACGGAGGGUGCAAGCGUUGUUCGGAAUUAUUGGGCGUAAAGGGCGUGUAGGUGGCAUUUCAAGUCUGGUGUGAAAAGCCCACGGCUCAACCGUGGAACUGCAUUGGAAACUGAAAAGCUCGAGUAUUGGAGGGGGUCGCGGAAUUCCCCGGUGUAGAGGUGAAAUUCGUAGAUAUCGGGAGGAACACCAGUGGCGAAGGCGGCGACCUGGCCAAUUACUGACACUGAGACGCGAAAGCGUGGGUAGCAAACAGGAUUAGAUACCCUGGUAGUCCACGCCGUAAACGAUGGGUGCUAGCCAUAUCGGGUGUUGACCCUUAGGUGUGGCGAAGCCAACGCGUUAAGCACCCCGCCUGGGGAGUACGGUCGCAAGAUUAAAACUCAAAGGAAUUGACGGGGG
This 498-nucleotide ribosomal RNA is filed under the name uncultured bacterium. RNAcentral describes it as "bacterial SSU rRNA". It matches the Rfam family "Bacterial small subunit ribosomal RNA", at positions 427 to 919 of the family's 1533-position model. The record is from RNAcentral.